Syngnathus typhle (broad-nosed pipefish) is the source of this 1133-nucleotide long non-coding RNA. RefSeq lists it as uncharacterized. The record is from RefSeq and is a predicted model, not a curated record. NCBI's taxonomy places the organism in Eukaryota, Metazoa, Chordata, Actinopteri, Syngnathiformes, Syngnathidae. The transcript is spliced from 3 exons.
UGGGACACGCUUGCUGUAUUGAUGUCAAAGUGGAGAAAAGGCUUGCCCUCCAGCUAAACCUGCCGCAUCGCAUCAUGUGCUGCAGCCGAGCAUGACUGACUCCCACCCCACUGCACUAUUCACCACCUCCGCCCGUGACACAAGAUCUGCAGUCUGACCUGCUAAGCAUCGUGACGCUGAGGUACGAGAGGGGCAGCGCUGAUUGAAAAUAAAAAUGCACCAGGGGGAGCGACAUUCUCCUGUUGUGACGGCACCCCUACUGAAUGAGAACACAUGGUAGGGAAUACAAGAAUCUCAGUCUCCCUCCUCUCCCUCCGUUUAGUUCACCAAUCAGACGUAGCCUAAGCAUGCAAGAGAGAACAGAAAAAAAACAUCGAGUGAGGAAUGAGUCGCAUGGCAGGAAGACAAAGACAAUGACGGAAAGUGGAGUCCGAAGUGUCAAAGGCCAGAAGGGAGUGAGAAGGUCAACGGCGCGCUGCCUGUCCAGAAGCGUCAUAUUAUCAGGUCUACAGGAUGAGCAGCAAACAAAACAACCCCAGAGCUCCGGCUCAAGCUGACCCAAAUUUCAUCUCUCACCUCCCUCACCUAGUUCCAUUGCUCAUGAUCAACAAGAUAAAAUAUAAGAAACAAACAAGGCAGUAAACCUGGUGGGAAACGUUGCCGGCAGUCAGUUAGGUAGGCUUAGCUCCAUCAUGAAUUGUUUCCCCAAAUUGGCACUGCUGUUGUUCAUCUUAGCUUCCCGCUGUUACCAACAAUCCUUGUUCCGCUUUGCUAAUCUGUUAUGCAAUGGUAGGCACAUAUGGUUCAUUUUAGAGGUGCUGUAGAUAUUUUUAGAUGGCCAUGGUGGUCAUGAUGAAUCACUGAAAUAAGAACCAAAAAAAAUUACAGAAUAGGAAGAAUAGUCUAUGAAAGUUUACGAACUCUCCUGCAAGCAAUUUGGGCUUCAUAAAUGCCAUAUGUGUAGGAACUGCAAUGUCAGAAUAAAUACUUUGCGUGUUGUAGUGUAAAGGCAUAGCAGCCAAGAAUUGCAGAAACAAGAUCAAUAUGUGGAUUUGCCUCAGAUCGAAAACAUGCAAUGAGUUAACCGCGUACAACUUGAAAGCAGAAAUUGUGUCCGAACAAGAAACAAGCAC